Molecule: transfer RNA, 70 nt
Organism: Aspergillus brasiliensis CBS 101740
Lineage: Eukaryota; Fungi; Ascomycota; Eurotiomycetes; Eurotiales; Aspergillaceae
Rfam family: tRNA
About the family: Transfer RNA (tRNA) molecules are approximately 80 nucleotides in length. Their secondary structure includes four short double-helical elements and three loops (D, anti-codon, and T loops).
Source: Rfam
GUCAGUGUGGCCGAGUGGUUAAGGCAUCAGACUCGAGAUCUGAUACCGCGUGCAGUCCCUGCCGCUGACG